GCCCCCGUAGCCCAACCGGCAGAGGCAGGCCACUUAAAAUGGCUGUGUUGCGGGUUCGACUCCCGUCGGGGGCA
RNAcentral lists this transfer RNA (74 nucleotides) under Dermatophilus congolensis. RNAcentral's name for it is "tRNA-Leu". It matches the Rfam family "tRNA". From Rfam's summary of the family: Transfer RNA (tRNA) molecules are approximately 80 nucleotides in length. Their secondary structure includes four short double-helical elements and three loops (D, anti-codon, and T loops). Lineage: Bacteria; Bacillati; Actinomycetota; Actinomycetes; Micrococcales; Dermatophilaceae. The record is from RNAcentral.